Hypanus sabinus (Atlantic stingray) is the source of this 1871-nucleotide long non-coding RNA. RefSeq lists it as uncharacterized. The transcript has 2 exons. Lineage: Eukaryota; Metazoa; Chordata; Chondrichthyes; Myliobatiformes; Dasyatidae. The record is from RefSeq and is a predicted model, not a curated record.
AUUGACUGAGUCAUCUCUCUGAAGUUAGUUUAAGGCUUAAUUUAGAUGGAAAAAAGCUGGUGUUUCACUUCAGUUUACUGUCAGUGACAGGCCAAGAACUCAGCUAGUUCCUGAAGACUGUGCUGAGGGCAUAUCUGUGCUGAAUUCUCAUCACCAACCACAGGUAGAACUUCCCUUCCUGGUAUCCACUGCCUUGCAAAUCACACCUUGCAAUCAGGUCUCCCCUUCAGAUGGGAUCCUCCAAGCAUCUUUCCUGGUGCUCUUCUCUCUGCAUCUCCCACCAAAAAGCUCCAAACCAGACUACUGUCCUUCAGAUAACUCUUCCAGCACAGCUCCUGAGAAUGUUCCACCUAUCAAAGAGGAGGAUAAACACUUUUUGAAGUACAGGCCAUCCUUGGGUUAAGGGCAACUGACUUAUGGACUGACAACUAUCAGCUACGAGACCUGGGCCUCAGUAUUUAUAUAUUUACCUAUAUAUAAAUGAGCUUCCAUAAUAUGAUUAAAUUCAGAUGUCUGAUGUUUGAACAUACUUCUGUCCUUACAAACAGCUGAGCUAGUUUCUUUUCUUUUUUUAGAAAUUGUACUUCCUUAUCAGUCAUGCAUGUUUUUAGUGUCACUGAUUGCAAUAUGUACAAAAAUGGUUACCGUAGUGAGAGAUUUUUAUGAAUUUUUUAACUAAAGGACAAAAUUGACCUUUGGAUGUGUCUGGAACCUGGCAAUGGUGUGUAUGUAAAACCAGCCAGUAUUAUUGUAAGUGGACAAAAGGAAUUAUUCAGAUUCAAGAUAAAUUAAUCAUUAGCACCUGUUGGUGUGUAUUUGUGAAAUGGGAUUCAAAUCAGCACUAAGAGCUGGAAAUUAGCCAUGGAUCACAAAGGUUGGACACACUAUAGAGAUUACAAAUGAACUGAACUUUGGAAGCAGAGUGUAACAUGCAGUUUAUUAUAUGGUACUCUUAAUUUUGUCAUUCAUGGAAAAGCCAGUGUAUAAUUAUUACCUCAUCUAUACUUGACAAAGUGUUGGUGAAUCUUUCUCAACCAUGUCAUGGUUGAGGGAAACUACUCCCACAAUGCCAUUAACAAAGAAGUUCCAUAAUUUUGACCCUACAGGAAUGAAAGAACACAUUUCCAUCACAGCAUGGAGGAAAAGCACUAACUGGCUGUGUUCUUGUGCGGGUUCUUUACAUAGUCAGUCACUGAUCUCAGAGGUGUAAAGGAAGGACGUGUUCUAACACAGCUGCAGUAUAUUGUAGUCAUGGUACAUUAUUGGCAGACAGAAUGAUAGUUCCGGGUAAUAAAUUACAAAUAGGGUUUUUUUUUUAUUAAGUGCAAUCGUGAACAAUAGCCAGAUCAGAAAUGCUGAUCAAGUCAACUAGUUACCAAAGAAAACACUGAUAGGCCAAUCAGAUGGUUCACUGCUGCUCAGCGAUAGAACACAAAAAAAUCACAUGUACAAUUAAGAAACAUUAAAAAAACAGAAAUACUGGAGUCAUGAUGAUCAUGAUGAAGUCUGCUGGAGAGAGACAUUUAUACACAUGCUGUCCUCCGUAAUUCAAAGAGAUUGAAGGAUAAGGUUACAGGGUGACAAAACGUGGCAGGAGCACUUGGAACUAAAAACUAAUCCCUACUGGGAGAAAAUAGCACCUGUUCUAGGGUACCAAUAUUUGGAUUAUAUUUUUUGUGUGAAUGUACUUUACUGUUAUCUUAUAUGUGCCAUAUGCUUUAUGCUGUGUAUGACUGUUCAUACUGUGUUUUGCACCUUGGCCCUAAAGUAACACUGUUUUGUUUGGCUGUAUUCAUGGGUAUGUAUGGUUGUAUGAACUUGAACUAUGAGUUAUGAAUAAAACUUGAACACUGAGCUAUGAAUAAAACAGA